Non-coding RNA from Mycena capillaripes, 71 nucleotides. The record is from the annotation of a GenBank genome assembly. Lineage: Eukaryota; Fungi; Basidiomycota; Agaricomycetes; Agaricales; Mycenaceae.
GGCUGCGUGGUGUAGUGGUUACCCGAAGGAUUUAUACCUGGUAGUUUGGGGUUCGAUUCCCCGUGCCGCCU